Molecule: unclassified non-coding RNA, 384 nt
Filed under: Miconia roraimensis
Lineage: Eukaryota; Viridiplantae; Streptophyta; Magnoliopsida; Myrtales; Melastomataceae
Description: partial contains external transcribed spacer and 18S ribosomal RNA
Source: RNAcentral
UGGUGAUUAGGAUAUGUUUCCCAUGCAGGCUCCAUGUAUUUGGCAUCGAACUGCUUGGGUCUAUCUAUAUCAUUUGUGGGUUCGCCUCGGCGUUUUCAUCGUCGGUCGCGACUACUUGUUGGGUUCCUGUGCUUGGUACUGAAUUUUGUAGUUGGAUGGAUUGUUGUUCCCCGUCAUGGUUUAUUGAUCCCACUCCGCUUCGCGCGGCGAUGUUGGAUAUUGUGCGGGCAUCGAGGUUUUCCUUUCGAGCCGUUGUCCCCCUUUGGGCGCUUUCGGUUGAGAUGGCACGUAGAUGCUGACGGCACUCUCGGGUACGGAGAUUUUGUGGUUAUCGCAUCGGUCUUCGACCUUUGCGAUCGUAACGUAUCGAGGCUUUCUUGCUUC